ACUGCUCAGUAACACGUGGACAACCUGCCCUUAGGUUGGGUAUAAACCCGGGAAACUGGGUAUAAUCCCCUAUAAGUCUCGGCUGCUGGAAUGCACCGAGAUUAAAAGCUCCGGCGCCUAAGGAUGGGUCUGCGGCCUAUCAGGUAGUAGUGGGUGUAGCGUACCUACUAGCCUACGACGGGUACGGGUUGUGAGAGCAAGAGCCCGGAGAUGGAUUCUGAGACACGAAUCCAGGCCCUACGGGGUGCAGCAGGCGCGAAAACUUUACAAUGCUGGCAACAGCGAUAAGGGAACCUCGAGUGCCAGGUUACAAAUCUGGCUGUCGAGAUGCCUAAAAAGCAUUUCAUAGCAAGGGCCGGGCAAGACCGGUGCCAGCCGCCGCGGUAACACCGGCGGCUCGAGUGGUAACCGUUAUUAUUGGGUCUAAAGGGUCUGUAGCCGGCCGGAUAAGUCUCUUGAGAAAUCUGGCAGCUUAACUGUCAGGCUUUCAGGAGAUACUGUCUGGCUCGAGGCCGGGAGAGGUGAGAGGUACUUCAGGGGUAGGGGUGAAAUCUUGUAAUCCUUGAAGGACCACCAGUGGCGAAGGCGUCUCACCAGAACGGACCUGACGGCAAGGGACGAAAGCUAGGGGCACGAACCGGAUUAGAUACCCGGGUAGUCCUAGCCGUAAACGAUACUCGCUAGGUGUCGGCCACGGUGCGACCGUUGUCGGUGCCGUAGGGAAGCCGUGAAGCGAGCCACCUGGGAAGUACGGCCGCAAGGCUGAAACUUAAAGGAAUUGGCGGGGGAGCAC
RNAcentral lists this ribosomal RNA (793 nucleotides) under uncultured archaeon. RNAcentral's name for it is "bacterial SSU rRNA". It matches the Rfam family "Archaeal small subunit ribosomal RNA", at positions 85 to 879 of the family's 1478-position model. The record is from RNAcentral. RNAcentral also lists the same sequence under 1 other name.